GACGAACGCUGGCGGCGUGCUUAACACAUGCAAGUCGAGCGGAAAGGCCACUUCGGUGGUACUCGAGCGGCGAACGGGUGAGUAACACGUGAGUAAUCUGCCCCUGGCUUUGGGAUAGCCACCGGAAACGGUGAUUAAUACCGGAUACGACCACUUCUCGCAUGGGAUGGUGGUGGAAAGUUUUUUCGGCCAGGGAUGUGCUCGCGGCGUAUCAGCUUGAUGGUGAGGUAAUGGCUCACCAUGGCUUCGACGGGUAGCCGGCCUGGGAGGGUGACCGGUCACACUGGGACUGAGACACGGCCCAGACUCCUACGGGAGGCAGCAGUGGGGAAUAUUGGACAAUGGGCGGAAGCCUGAUCCAGCAACGCCGCGUGAGGGAUGACGGCCUUCGGGUUGUAAACCUCUUUCAGCAGGGACGAAGCGCAAGUGACGGUACCUGCAGAAGAAGCACCGGCCAACUACGUGCCAGCCGCCGCAGUAA
This 481-nucleotide ribosomal RNA is filed under the name uncultured bacterium. RNAcentral's name for it is "partial 16S ribosomal RNA". It matches the Rfam family "Bacterial small subunit ribosomal RNA", at positions 28 to 523 of the family's 1533-position model. The record is from RNAcentral.